This 69-nucleotide transfer RNA is filed under the name Nonomuraea coxensis DSM 45129. RNAcentral describes it as "tRNA-Ala". Lineage: Bacteria; Bacillati; Actinomycetota; Actinomycetes; Streptosporangiales; Streptosporangiaceae. The record is from RNAcentral.
GUAGCCGGGGUCGCGGACGAGGGCGGCGUCGGCGACGCCGCCGGUCACGUUCGACACGUACGGCAACGC